RNAcentral lists this ribosomal RNA (371 nucleotides) under Gastrimargus marmoratus. RNAcentral describes it as "partial 28S ribosomal RNA". Lineage: Eukaryota; Metazoa; Arthropoda; Insecta; Orthoptera; Acrididae. The record is from RNAcentral.
AAAGUACGUGAACUGCUUAGAGGUUAAACCCGAUGAACCUAAAUAUCCAGUAUGAGAAAGUCAUUAUUAUGAGUAUAUUAUUUUAUAAUGUAUUAAUAGUGUGCAUUUUUUUCAUAAAAAGGACAUUGUAAUCUGUUAAUACAAUUUAUAUAUUCUUUUAUAUAUUAUUUUUAUCAUAAAGAGUCAUGUAUAAGUUUACAUAUAAAUUAAUUAAUUUAUUAAUUAAUUGAUGUAAGAUCGAUGAAUUUCUAGAUAAAUAGUUAACAGUAUUAAAAUAUAUAAUGCUUACAUAAUUUUUUAUGUUUUAUAUAUAAUAUGUACAUGUACAUAUAUAUGUUUUUGCAUUUAUAUUAUUAACAAUGCUAUAGAGU